CCACACCUCUUUUUUCCGGAGCCUGCCAGUCCUGUGCCCGGGUCUUGGCUCUCACGGAACCCCGACAUAGCCGGCCAUCCCCACCCGGCUCUGACCGCACAGACAGGCAAUCUCGGCACAAAGAGGAGACAGCCCAAGGGAAGUGCUUUUGAAGAAAGGAUAGGACUGAAGAGGAGUUAACAAGGGAAUCUCAAGCAGGACAACGUGAACAAAGUUGCAACGGGUAAGAAUCCCAGUAAGAAAAGAAGAGGAGAAACAAAUGGUUUCCAAACAGGAAGCAGGACACUGUGCGCGCCAUAGAGCAAUAAGCACAUCAGUCCGGCUAAAUGUGAGCGGCGACUUAAGAUAUCUGAGCACGGGAUUGGCCGACUUUAAGAGGCCAUUUAAGAAAACUGUGGCUCCCAAUCUCCCUGUCUUUGUUUACCAGCAAGCUUUUCAGCCCCACCCAUGUUCCAAGACAAAUCAGAUCAGUACACCCCAAUCCUUUCUAAAGCCCUAAGUUCUUUCUUCCAAAUAUUUCUAACACUUUAUAUAU
This is a long non-coding RNA of Orcinus orca (killer whale), 535 nucleotides long. RefSeq lists it as uncharacterized. The transcript has 3 exons. The record is from RefSeq and is a predicted model, not a curated record. NCBI's taxonomy places the organism in Eukaryota, Metazoa, Chordata, Mammalia, Artiodactyla, Delphinidae.